Molecule: long non-coding RNA, 487 nt
Organism: Vidua chalybeata
Lineage: Eukaryota; Metazoa; Chordata; Aves; Passeriformes; Viduidae
Exons: 3
Source: RefSeq, a predicted model, not a curated record
CCCACUAUUAAAAACCCUCAGCAUCAAAGCAAACCCUGUAAUUGCUCAUUCUCAAAGUUCACUGUCCACAAACUGGUGUGAUAUUUUAACUAAUGAUUAAAUAGCAAGGCACAUCUUUCCUCUCCCAGGGAACUUUAUUUCUGCAGCAGGUAAAGCUUUGAUUUGAUGAGCCUCCCAGGACUCCCCAUCCUGUGCUGUGCCCAAAUCACACAGCUCAGUGAACUGGGUGCAAGAGCCCUCUGGAAUUCAUCAAGGUGACUAAGGCAUAAAUUGUGCUAAAUUAAGAAAGAAGAGGCUGAGAUACUAAAUACCAAGACCAAACGAACUAGUUAAAGGAGGGUGGUGAAGCACCUGGACUGUAACCAAUCCCAUAUCCUGAAAAUCACGUGCAGGAGGCGUGGACAAGAUAGAGGCACCAAUCAAGAAAUGCUGAGCGUGUGUGCAGUGGUGUUAGAAUGCACAAAUAGAGCGUAAUGUAAACAAUAAA